Molecule: long non-coding RNA, 1491 nt
Organism: Daphnia pulicaria
Lineage: Eukaryota; Metazoa; Arthropoda; Branchiopoda; Diplostraca; Daphniidae
Exons: 5
Source: RefSeq, a predicted model, not a curated record
UAUCACAGAAUUUUUUAAUUCUCAUCACUUUUGUAUGUUUAUGCGUUCGGUUGUACCGUGAAUAUUUUAAUAUGUUUGAAAUACGUGGGAAGAAUACGUUUGUAUGUUUUUUUUAAAUUGUUUUAGGUGUGGUACUCUCUAUUUAGUUCGUGUGGUACUAUAUCGGCGUUCAAACCAAAAAAUCAAUCAUGUUUAAUUGUUAUCGAAUUGAGUUUCCACGUUAAUUAUUUUUUUGGUUCUUCAGUUCUUCUGCAUCAUAUCAAUCUGUUUCUACUUUCUAGUUCUCGGCGAUGGACUAGCAAUUACGACUACUUGCUGAUUUUUUGAAUAUUACGAUAGCGAUUCUCGGAAUCCCGAAGACGACUCCGGUCACCAGAAACUGAAUUCGGCAAUGGAAAAAACUGGCAAUAACACCAACUCACAUGGACUUGAGGAAGAAGCUGCUGUCAAAUCAAGUUAUUCUUCAUCUCCUGAAACAAGUUCAUCUGGUGAUGAAUCUGACGGAUGUGAUUCUGAGCCAGACACUAUAAAUCCUGCUGUCGAGCUAAACACUUCAAAGGCCGGAAAGAAGACUCUCAAUGGGAAAACAGUGACAGACUCUACGAGGCCAAUUCUCAUCAAACAACUGAACUAUGCAGCUGCCAAACCCAAACGUAAAAGAAAGCCAAAAUCUUUUGCUGAACCUAUUAAAAGUUUCCAGGAUGACGAGGAGGAGCAAGAAGUAUAUUCCAUGGUGGGAAUGAUGAUUGAUUUGUUGGCUCGCCAUCAAGCAAGUAUGCACGUUGCUUACCUUGCAGUAACACAAGUUCGCGAUUUCCUGAUUCCACUUAAAGAGCAAAAAUAAAACGCCAAAUUGAGGGACAAGGCAGUUCAAUACCCUGUCCGGCCAGAGAUCCAACCAAUUGAAGGUGAAGAUUUGCACGUUGGUCAUCGAUGGGCAUUUUCGCCCGACAAAUCAACAGCCCAUGAAGAUCGAUCAGAUGAGGCCUCCUCAUCCAACAACAGCAGCGUUACACCUCGUGCCUAACCCAGUGCCUCAAAAAACGCAACAUGUUUGACGCCGAAGUAGUAGGGCGAUUCAUGGCCGGUGCGUAUUCAGAAGGUAAUUUUGGACAAGGCCGAUAACAAGGGGGAUAUUUUGCAUAUGGCUGUUGAUCGUGGUUCGCGUCAAGGUUGUGUUUACAUCAAGUGUGCAAGUGCUGAUGAUGCCGGCAAGGUAUACCACUCGCUCCACGGCUGGUGGUUUGAUGGCAAUUUGGUCACAGUCAAGUACCUUAGUCCCGAACAAUAUCAAUAUCGUUUCCCAGAAUCAGUAAAAACAACUUUCCAACUGAUGCAGCCAUCCAAUGUUGAGUAAUUGUCUCUGUAGACCAAGUUCUGGAUAUCACCUUUUGAGCAUUUUUUAAUUAAUUAAACAAAUUUCCCAUAGGUUAACCCCUUUUUUGACAUGUUUUAACUUGAAUGACACAAUACAAAAGACACUUAACAGUU